GUCUGCUGCAAACCUGAUCUGUCUUCCCUUGUAGCUUAGGGACUUUUUUUCCCUUGCUGGUUUCAUGAUUCUCUCUUUGCCUCAGUAUUUUGUGAAUUUGACUAUGAUAUGCCUUGUUGAUGGUCUGUUUUUGUUGAAUCUAAUGAGGGUCCUCUGUGCUUCCUGGAUUUUGAUGUCUGUGUCUUUCCCCAGGUUAGGAAAGUUUUCCGCUAUGACUUGUGCACGUAACUCUCUACCCCUAUUUCUCUCUCUUCCUCUUCUGGGACCCCCUAUGAUUCUGAUGUUAUUCCUUUUUAAUGAGCCACUGAUUUCUCUAAUUCUUAGAUCAUGCUUUUUUGCCUUCAUCUCCCUCUUUUUUUCUGCUUCAUUAUUGUCUAUAAGUUUGUCCUCUAUAUCACUGAUUCUCUGUUCUGCCUCAUCCAUCCUUGCUGCCGCUGUAUCCAUCUGUGAUUGCAGCUCAGUUAUAGCAUUUUUUAUUUCAUUCUGGCUAUUUUUUACUUCUUUUAUCUCCACAGAAAGGGAAUCUAAUCUAUUUUUUUACUCCAGCUAGUAUUCUCAUUAUCGUGAUUCUAAAUUCUGGCUCAGACAUCUUGCUUGUAUCUGUGUUGGUUAAAUCCCUGGCUGUCGUUUCUUCAUGCUCUUUAUUUUGGGGGUGAAUUCCUUCGUUUCAUCAUUUUGAAGGGAGAAAAGGAAUUAAUGAGGUAGAAAAAUUAAAAUUAAAAAUGAAUUAAAAAUUUAAAAAUAUUAAAAUUAAAAAAUUAAACACACGCACACACACAAAUCGAAUAAAUGAUGCUGGAUCCUAGGUGUGUUUUGGUCUGAGUGUUAAAAGUGGUUUGACAAAUUAAAGAAAAAAAGGGGGGGGGAGAAAAAAAAGGAAAUUGUUUGAGAAUUUGAGAAAAUGAAUACACUGAAGUAAACUAAAAUGAGAUGAUGGAGGUAAAGUAGAAUUUGAAAAAAUAUACACAGAAGUAAAUAAGAUAGUAGAAAAAAUAAAGAAAAAUAUUUUUAUUAAAAAUUUAAGAAAUGAAUUUUUCUUUCCCUAUAUUCAAGAAAAAGAAAAGAUACAAAAGAGAAAAAAAGAAAAAAGAAAAGAAAGGGAAAAAAGGAAAUCAUUUGAAAAUUUGAAAAAGUGAAUACACUGUAGGAGACUAAAAUAAAAUGAUGGAAGUAAAAUGGAUUUUGAAAAUAUUUACAUAAAAGCAAAAAUUAUAGUAAAAAAUUAAAGAAAAAUAUUUUUUUAAUUUUUUUUAACGUUUUAUUUAUUUUUGAGACAGAGAGAGACAGAGCAUGAACGGGGGAGGGGCAGAGAGAGAGGGAGACACAGAAUCGGAAGCAGGCUCCAGGCUCUGAGCCAUCAGCCCAGAGUCCGACGCGGGGCUCAAACUCACAGACCGCGAGAUCAUGACCUGAGCCGAAGUCGGACGCUUAACCGACUGAGCCACCCAGGUGCCCCAAGAAAAAUAUUUUUAAUAGAAGUUGAAGGUAAAGGUGAAGUUUUCCUUUCUGCAUUCAAGAAAAAGAAAUGAAAGAGAAAAAAGUAAAAGAAAAAAGGAGAUCGUUCGAAAAUUUGAGAAGGUGAAUACACUGAAGUAGACUAAAAUAAAAUGAUGGAAAUAAAAUAGAAUUUGAAAAAAUUUACACAACAGUAAAAAAUAUAGCAAUAAAAAUUAAAGAAAAAUAUUUUUAAUAAAAAUUGCAAAUGAAAAUGAAUUUUUUCUCCUUCUGUAUUUGUGAAAAAGAAAGAAAAAAAAAAGAAAAUUGAAUAGAUGGACCUGCUAACAGAUUGAAGUAGGACUGAAAUUACUUCAUUUUCCCCUAGAACAGCGGAACCGCUUUUCCCCGUGUGGCAAGAGAACCUCCCGGACCCCACUCUGCUCCUGGGGAUUCGCCCUUCCCACCAGAGCACCGCCAGG
Long non-coding RNA from Acinonyx jubatus (cheetah), 1916 nucleotides. RefSeq lists it as uncharacterized. The record is from RefSeq and is a predicted model, not a curated record. The transcript is spliced from 2 exons. Lineage: Eukaryota; Metazoa; Chordata; Mammalia; Carnivora; Felidae.